UGCCUCUGCCGAUGCGAUGACGUAAGAAGAAUCUCCUGGGACAAUUUCAAUCUUGUGACCUACCCACUGGACCAAGCACUGGUGCAUUGUAGAUGGGAUGCAACAAUUGGCAUGAAUCCAAUCUCUUGCAAACAGCAAGUUAUGUGCACCCUUUCCACUGAUCAAAAAGAAGGUUGUCGGCAAGGUUUUGCUGCCGAUGGUCAACUCAACGCAUAUUGCUCCCUU
RNAcentral lists this long non-coding RNA (225 nucleotides) under Sorghum bicolor (sorghum). RNAcentral describes it as "long non-coding RNA (SBIC_LNC000716)". The record is from RNAcentral. Lineage: Eukaryota; Viridiplantae; Streptophyta; Magnoliopsida; Poales; Poaceae.